Molecule: transfer RNA, 73 nt
Filed under: Otolemur garnettii (small-eared galago)
Lineage: Eukaryota; Metazoa; Chordata; Mammalia; Primates; Galagidae
Rfam family: tRNA
About the family: Transfer RNA (tRNA) molecules are approximately 80 nucleotides in length. Their secondary structure includes four short double-helical elements and three loops (D, anti-codon, and T loops). Further hydrogen bonds mediate the characteristic L-shaped molecular structure. tRNAs have two regions of fundamental functional importance: the anti-codon, which is responsible for specific mRNA codon recognition, and the 3' end, to which the tRNAs corresponding amino acid is attached (by aminoacyl-tRNA synthetases). tRNAs cope with the degeneracy of the genetic code in two manners: having more than one tRNA (with a specific anti-codon) for a particular amino acid; and 'wobble' base-pairing, i.e. permitting non-standard base-pairing at the 3rd anti-codon position.
Source: Rfam by way of RNAcentral
GUGCCUAUAGCUCAGUGGUUAGGGCGCCAGCCUCAUACACUGGGGUUGGUGGGUUCAAACCCGUCCAGGGUCU